CCUACGGGAGGCAGCAGUGGGGAAUUUUGGACAAUGGGGGCAACCCUGAUCCAGCCAUUCCGCGUGAGUGAAGAAGGCCUUCGGGUUGUAAAGCUCUUUUGUCGGGGACGAAACGGUUACGAUUAAUACUCGUGACAACUGACGGUACCCGAAGAAUAAGCACCGGCUAACUACGUGCCAGCAGCCGCGGUAAUACGUAGGGUGCGAGCGUUAAUCGGAAUUACUGGGCGUAAAGCGUGCGCAGGCGGUUUUGUAAGCCAGAUGUGAAAUCCCCGGGGCUUAACCUGGGAAUGGCAUUUGGGACUGCAAGGCUAGAGUAUGGCAGAGGAGACUAGAAUUUCUGGUGUAGCAGUGAAAUGCGUAGAUAUCAGAAGGAAUACCGAUGGCGAAGGCAGGUCUCUGGGUCAAUACUGACGCUCAUGCACGAAAGCGUGGGGAGCAAACAGGAUUAGAUACCCUGGUAGUCCACGCCCUAAACGAUGUCAACUGGUUGUUGGGAGAUUUAUUCUCUUAGUAACGAAGCUAACGCGUGAAGUUGACCGCCUGGGGAGUACGGUCGCAAGAUUAAAACUCAAAUGAAUUGACGGUNUGAGACGNGCGACGACGACGACGAGGGAGGAGG
Molecule: ribosomal RNA, 622 nt
Filed under: uncultured bacterium
Lineage: Bacteria
Description: bacterial SSU rRNA
Rfam family: Bacterial small subunit ribosomal RNA
Source: RNAcentral